Molecule: long non-coding RNA, 491 nt
Organism: Ipomoea nil (Japanese morning glory)
Lineage: Eukaryota; Viridiplantae; Streptophyta; Magnoliopsida; Solanales; Convolvulaceae
Exons: 2
Source: RefSeq, a predicted model, not a curated record
AAAAUAAAAUAAUAAUAAUAAUAAUUACUGUUGUAAUUAUUAUUAUUAUAGUAACAUAAAUAAUAACAAUAAAGUUGGAAUCUCAAAACUAUUGAUGGCAAUGGCAAGUUCAUUAAAGACUACAGCAACAAUCUGCCUCCUGUUUGCGAUCUUUUUUUCUACAGAGAUUGGUCCAAUGAUGCUUGGAGAAUCACAUAACUGUGAUGAUUUUAGCAAGCUUUGCUUGACCGCUAAAUCUUGCACUAAAUAUUGCCUUAGAAAGGGGGCCGGUUAUGAAAGAGGUAGAUGCUUUGGAUUUAAUUGCUGCUGCUAUCCACAGAAGGGUUACAAGAGUCUGAAGUGAUUGAAAAUAGAACUAGGGGAUUAGUAUUUUUUCUCCUUUUUUAGCAUUAUAUUUUAGCUUUAUGUAGUUUAGGUAAAAGUGUCGUGAUUGAGUACAACAUAUAUGUGAAGUGCAUUCAAUUUGUUAAAUAUACACGUAUGUUGUGACA